UGGGGAAUAUUGCACAAUGGGCGCAAGCCUGAUGCAGCCAUGCCGCGUGUAUGAAGAAGGCCUUCGGGUUGUAAAGUACUUUCAGUCGGGAGGAAGGUGGUAAGGUUAAUAACCUUGGCAAUUGACGUUACCGACAGAAGAAGCACCGGCUAACUCCGUGCCAGCAGCCGCGGUAAUACGGAGGGUGCAAGCGUUAAUCGGAAUUACUGGGCGUAAAGCGCACGCAGGCGGUUGAUUGAGUCAGAUGUGAAAUCCCCGGGCUUAACCCGGGAAAUGCAUCUGAUACUGGUCAGCUAGAGUCUUGUAGAGGGGGGUAGAAUUCCAUGUGUAGCGGUGAAAUGCGUAGAGAUGUGGAGGAAUACCGGUGGCGAAGGCGGCCCCCUGGACAAAGACUGACGCUCAGGUGCGAAAGCGUGGGGGGCAAACAGG
Molecule: ribosomal RNA, 429 nt
Filed under: Chloroflexota bacterium
Lineage: Bacteria; Bacillati; Chloroflexota
Description: Chloroflexi bacterium partial 16S ribosomal RNA
Rfam family: Bacterial small subunit ribosomal RNA
Source: RNAcentral